AAAGAAUUAGUUAAAUUAUAACAUUAGAAUGUCAAACUAAAAUUAUUAAAAAAUUAAUAUUCUUUA
RNAcentral lists this transfer RNA (66 nucleotides) under Brachinus crepitans. RNAcentral's name for it is "tRNA-Asp". The record is from RNAcentral. Lineage: Eukaryota; Metazoa; Arthropoda; Insecta; Coleoptera; Carabidae.